GGGGACCCGCAAGCGGUGGAUGAUGUGGUUUAAUUCGAUGCAACGCGAAAAACCUUACCUACCCUUGACAUGUCAGGGACUGGCCAGAGAUGGUUGGGUGCUCGAAAGAGAGCCUGAACACAGGUGCUGCAUGGCCGUCGUCAGCUCGUGUCGUGAGAUGUUGGGUUAAGUCCCGCAACGAGCGCAACCCUUGUCAUUAGUUGCUACGAAAGGGCACUCUAAUGAGACUGCCGGUGACAAACCGGAGGAAGGUGGGGAUGACGUCAGGUCAUCAUGGCCCUUAUGGGUAGGGCUACACACGUCAUACAAUGGCCGGUACAGAGGGUUGCCAACCCGCGAGGGGGAGCCAAUCCCAGAAAACCGGUCGUAGUCCGGAUCGUAGUCUGCAACUCGACUGCGUGAAGUCGGAAUCGCUAGUAAUCGCGGAUCAGCUUGCCGCGGUGAAUACGUUCCCGGGUCUUGUACACACC
RNAcentral lists this ribosomal RNA (470 nucleotides) under uncultured bacterium. Its description in RNAcentral is "bacterial SSU rRNA". It matches the Rfam family "Bacterial small subunit ribosomal RNA", at positions 915 to 1391 of the family's 1533-position model. The record is from RNAcentral.